GGCUUAGAGUUUGAUCAUGGCUCAGAUUGAACGCUGGCGGCAUGCUUUACACAUGCAAGUCGAACGGCAGCAUAGAGAGCUUGCUCUCUGAUGGCGAGUGGCGAACGGGUGAGUAAUACAUCGGAACGUGUCCGUUUGUGGGGGACAACCACCCGAAAGGGUGGCUAAUACCGCAUAAGACCUGAGGGUGAAAGCCGGGGACCGCAAGGCCUGGCGCGAACGGAGCGGCCGAUGACUGAUUAGCUGGUUGGCGGGGUAAAGGCCCACCAAGGCGACGAUCAGUAGCUGGUCUGAGAGGACGACCAGCCACACUGAAACUGAGACACGGUCCAGACUCCUACGGGAGGCAGCAGUGGAGAAUUUUGGACAAUGGGGGCAACCCUGAUCCAGCCAUGCCGCGUGCGGGAAGAAGGCCUUCGGGUUGUAAACCGCUUUUGUCAGGGACGAAAAGGUGCGGGUUAAGAGCUAGCACUGAUGACGGUACCUGAAGAAUAAGCACCGGCUAAUUACGUGCCAGCAGCCGCGGUAAUACGUAGGGUGCGGGCGUUAAUCGGAAUUACUGGGCGUAAAGCGUGCGCAGGCGGUUGGGUAAGACAGAUGUGAAAUCCCCGGGCAUAACCUGGGAACUGCAUUUGUGACUGUCCGACUGGAGUAUGUCAGAGGGGGUGGAAUUCCAAGUGUAGCAGUGAAAUGCGUAGAUAUUUGGAAGAACACCGAUGGCGAAGCAGCCCCUGGGGCAAACUGACGCUCAUGCACGAAAGCGUGGGGAGCAAACAGGAUUAGAUACCCUAGUAGUCNCGCCCUAACGAUGUCUACUGUGUGGAGGGUANNNUCAGUACGAGCUACGCGUGAGUAGACGCUGGGGAGUA
This 869-nucleotide ribosomal RNA is filed under the name uncultured bacterium. RNAcentral's name for it is "bacterial SSU rRNA". It matches the Rfam family "Bacterial small subunit ribosomal RNA", at positions 1 to 882 of the family's 1533-position model. The record is from RNAcentral.